UACGAAGGGGGCUAGCGUUGUUCGGAAUUACUGGGCGUAAAGCGCGCGUAGGCGGCCCCGCAAGUCGGCCGUGAAAUCUCCGGGCUCAACUCGGAGGGGUCGGGCGAGACUGCGGGGCUCGAGGUGGGCAGAGGGCAGUGGAAUUCCGGGUGUAGUGGUGGAAUGCGUAGAGAUCCGGAGGAACACCAGUGGCGAAGGCGGCUGCCUGGGCCUGGCCUGACGCUGAGGCGCGAAAGCGUGGGGAGCGAUCCGG
RNAcentral lists this ribosomal RNA (253 nucleotides) under uncultured bacterium. RNAcentral's name for it is "partial 16S ribosomal RNA". It matches the Rfam family "Bacterial small subunit ribosomal RNA", at positions 524 to 776 of the family's 1533-position model. The record is from RNAcentral.